UGCAGAGGGUGCGAGCGUUAAUCGGAAUUACUGGGCGUAAAGCGUGCGUAGACGGUCAAGUAAGUCGGGUGUGAAAGCCCCGGGCUCAACCUGGGAAUUGCAUUCGAGACUGCGUGGCUAGGGUGCGGAAGAGGGAAGCGGAAAUUUCCGGUGUAGCGGUGAAAUGCGUAGAUAUCGGAAGGAACACCAGUGGCGAAAGCGGCUCCUGGUCCAGCA
RNAcentral lists this ribosomal RNA (216 nucleotides) under uncultured bacterium. Its description in RNAcentral is "partial 16S ribosomal RNA". It matches the Rfam family "Bacterial small subunit ribosomal RNA", at positions 524 to 739 of the family's 1533-position model. The record is from RNAcentral.